UACGGAGGGUGCGAGCGUUAAUCGGAAUGACUGGGCGUAAAGCGUGCGUAGGUGGUAGCGUUAGUCGGCCGUGAAAGCCCUGGGCUUAACCUGGGAAUGGCGGUUGAAACGGCGCAACUGGAGUGGGUUAGAGGACUGUGGAACUCCUGGUGUAGCGGUGAAAUGCGUAGAGAUCAGGAAGAACACCGAUGGCGAAGGCAGCGGUCUGGGGCCACACUGACACUGAGGCACGAAAGCGUGGGGAGCAAACAGGAUUAGAUACCCUGGUAGUCCACGCGGUAAACGAUGAGCGCUAGACGUUGGGCAGGUGACUGCUCGGUGUCGCAGCUAACGCGCUAAGCGCUCCGCCUGGGGAGUACGGCCGCAAGGUUGAA
This 374-nucleotide ribosomal RNA is filed under the name uncultured bacterium. RNAcentral describes it as "bacterial SSU rRNA". It matches the Rfam family "Bacterial small subunit ribosomal RNA", at positions 524 to 898 of the family's 1533-position model. The record is from RNAcentral.